ACAAGGGAAGUCUUAGCAUAAAUAACUAUAACUAUUACCCGUCGUACUGUAGGAAACAUAAAAUCAUCAUGCCUGAAAAAUUGGAAAUUGAACUGAUGGCGGAACUCAUAAAUACAGUAUUUUCCUGCCAAUCUAACAAACAAAUGCUUGAAUAUGAAGUUUAAAGCAUCUUCAACUAAAUGUGUUCCAUACUCUAGCAUUUCACACAACAUUAAAAAGACCUUCCAUCUUUCUUGACUACUCAAAUACCCAUCAUCUGGAUGCAAUACCUCUCCAACUCACAAGAACUUUGCUUCUUCUUCAGCCCACAUGUCUCUCUUUGUGAUGUAAGCCUGUGAUGACGUUCCAUUACAUGAAGUAGUACACACAACCGAAUCAGCAGCAACAAAAUUUGAAGCACUGUACAAGUAUUGACAGUUGGUGUGGUUGUAAAAAAAAUAGUUGUAAAAUGAUACUUUAAAUAUAUGUAAUGCCAGCUUCCUCAAGCACUUUAAAUAUAUGUAAUGCCAGUUGGUGUGGUGUUUAUAGACAUUUAUUUAUUUGUUUAUUUUUCUACAAUUCAGAUUUGUGAGUCAACUAUCAGCAGUUCCUUUAGUUGCCUUAUCCGGAUUUGGCCUCUAUGAGUUAGGCUUUCUCAGUGUUGCCAAGUGUAUUGAGAUUGAGCUUCCACAUAUAAUUCUGUUGAUAAUCUUUUCCCAGGUGACUGGAAACCAAGUUGCAAAAAUCACCUUUCAUAACGCUGUGAUUAGAGUCUGUAGCUGGCAUCCAUACUACCAUAUGCUUGUGAGCUAUUCUUGGGAUUGUCAAAUUGCUAGAUGGCAAUUCUAGGGUUCUGAUGCAAUUCCUUCCGUUAUUGACAAUAAACGCCAUCGAAGGCAACAGCCUGAGCAAAGGACACUUCCCUGAUGCUUUGCGCUCUUCCUCGAGUUUCUGUUUGUUAUUUAUAAUAUCUCUUGGCAUUUAUAAUUUCUCAUGACAUGGUGCAAAUUCUUUGAUCAGAAGAGACACUGACAAAGGGGAUCAACGUCAUGUAUUGCGAGAUCUUUAUCAUCUAGACUACCCUAGCUGAUGAGACCUCAAUUCCUUUGUAAAGAAUAUUUAAGUAUGAUUAUGGUGUAAAUAUUUGUAUGCAUCUUCUCUA
Molecule: long non-coding RNA, 1141 nt
Organism: Asparagus officinalis (garden asparagus)
Lineage: Eukaryota; Viridiplantae; Streptophyta; Magnoliopsida; Asparagales; Asparagaceae
Exons: 3
Source: RefSeq, a predicted model, not a curated record